This 253-nucleotide ribosomal RNA is filed under the name uncultured bacterium. Its description in RNAcentral is "partial 16S ribosomal RNA". It matches the Rfam family "Bacterial small subunit ribosomal RNA", at positions 524 to 776 of the family's 1533-position model. The record is from RNAcentral.
UACGUAGGGGGCAAGCGUUGUCCGGAAUGACUGGGCGUAAAGGGAGCGUAGGCGGUUUGGUAAGUCAAAUGUGAAAUCCCACAGCUUAACUGUGGAAUUGCAUUUGAUACUGCUAGACUUGAGUUCAGGAGAGGUAAGUAGAAUUCCUAGUGUAGCGGUGGAAUGCGUAGAUAUUAGGAGGAACACCAGUGGCGAAGGCGACUGUCUGGUCUGUAACUGACACUGAGGCGCGAAAGCGUGGGGAGCAAACAGG